GUGCUCACUUUGGCAGCACACAUACUAAAAUUGGAACGAUACCGAGAUUAGCAUGGCCCCUGCACAAGGAUGACACAAAUUCGUUGAAGUAUUCCAUAUUUAA
This is a small nuclear RNA of Suncus etruscus (white-toothed pygmy shrew), 103 nucleotides long. The record is from RefSeq and is a predicted model, not a curated record. Lineage: Eukaryota; Metazoa; Chordata; Mammalia; Eulipotyphla; Soricidae.